UUUUUUUUUUUUUUUUUGCUAUUUGUUCAAAAGGUAAUUUUCAAACUUUUCUUUUUUUCAGGUUGAAAAGUACAGGUAGAAGCCACUGAAGCUGUAAAGCUCUGAUGCUGGUAUUUUAACUGACUUACACCAACUAUCACUCUGCAGUUUACAAUACACAAGAACCUUUAAUGAGGUCACAGUUCUCACGUAACUUGUAGCAACCUGGUGUCUGUGCAGUGGCUUAGAAGUUAGAGCAGUGGGAUCCUGCUGGUGGUUUAAUUCUCACAAGUCUGUGAAGAGGGUACUGUUUCUCUUUUUGCAUUUGAGGCAGUCACUUAAGGUUCCAUCACAUAUGCCCAGGAAGCCUUGCAGCUACUUUUUUCCCUGUGUAACUGUUAGAAAGUCACUUAUCCUUCUUGAGACUUAGUGUCCUGGUAUAACAGGAGAAGUAUUUAAACAUGGGUUAGGUCACUUUGGUGGGGAAAGACCACAGAGCUACUGAGAAUAUAAACUCUUCAUAGUAUAUACUUGAACCUCUAAGAAAUUAAAAUUUAGCACAAAGGGAACAUAACCUCAGCAUGCUAAACGUUUUUGAUGAAUGUAGCAUGAUGAGCUGUAAAAAAGGAAUUUAAAGGACCCAAUGAUGCUAGAUUAUUAAAAUAUGAGUAUUGGGGUGAUGGGGGAGGUUUUCCUAUGGGAAGAAAUGUGUCGCAAGAUGAACAGAACCCAGUUCCUGUCGAUCAGCUCUGGAUGUCUACAAUACCUCAUUUUCCAGAAUCUUAAAUAAAGGUAUUUAUUUCAUUAUGCUUGUUUCAAAAUUGCUCGAGAGCCUCUGUCCAAACUUCAUUUUUAAAAAUAUUCCAUAUUAUCCUGUAAAGUCUUAAUUUAGGUCAUUCAACAAAUACAUUGGAAAGGCAUAAUUGCUCAAGGGAAAAAAGGGGGAGGGAAAUAGGAAGGGCAUGUAUAUGCAAGAUACGUGAAAGGAUAUGACUUGAGAUAGAACUGGUUGGUGAAUGACUGCCGGAGACCUGGAGAGAGAUGUGGUUGAGCCUUGAGCAACAUGAACAUUGAACAUGGAUGGUUUUCCAUGGUAAAUACUAUGUACUACAUGGUCCGUGGUUGAUGGAUUUGUGGAUAAGGAGAGUUGAGUAUAAAUUAUUCGGAUUAACCCCUGCAUUAUAUAUAUAUAUGGGUGCAGAGCAUUUCUGGCAGAGGAAUGAUCUUAAAGGUUUGGGGGAAAAGCAAAGUGAAGCUGCAGAGAAGGGGCCUUAAGGAAACAUUACAUGACAGUUCUUCUGUGGGACUAGGCAGAUAUUUUAGACCAUUUUAAAAGAGUGACUUGUUUUCUGGCCUCUCAGUUCUCUGAAUGUUAUAACUUAACCUAGAAUGCAGCCUACCAGCCAUGUGCUUUCCUGCUUUCCUGUGGGCGCUGUUUCCCCUCCCAGGUGCUCUUGGUCUGGAUUUCUAUAGCAUCCUGUAAUAGCCUUACACUUGGAAGCACAUUUUGUAGUUGCUUGUGUGCUUGUCCCAACAUCCUGCAGGCUCUGGACUAGGACAGAUAGCCCAUCCCCCUUGGUUCCCACCAUAUUCCUGGGAUCUGACCAAGUGCCUGGUAUAUUAUAGAUUCUCAUAUCUAACUUGAGCCCCAAACCCAUGAUGACUGUAGUACAAGGAGCAGUAUCAUUUAUAAUUCAUUUUAAUAGCAUUAUUGUAUUGACUCAUAAAUUGCAUUCAAGUGAGUGGCCACCUACCUAGUCUCAGGGCCAGCAUAGUAAGCCUGGUUUCAGAUCCCUAUCCUUGCAGUUUCUUAGCUUCCAUUUCUUUAGCUGGUAAUCCUAGUCACCAAAGCUGAGUUUAUACAUAGUGUAUCUAACUUCCUUGUGAGCAGUAAGCACUUAGGAUCAUUUUUAUAUAUCAUUGUAACUGGAUCAAAAUGAAAACUGGACCAAGGAAAUUUCAAUGUCUUCUAGCUAUUGUCACAACAAAAGAUGUUGUGAAACUACACUGUUUGUCUGAAGGCGCCAGCAAAGUUCCCAAGGAUAACCACUGGUUUCACAAUCUGGCUCCAUUUCAUUGAGUCCCGAAGGAGGGCUGGGCGAACAGGUGAAGACCCUGAGUCGGCCACGGAUGCCUCCCUCUCCCAGUAACCAACCUCAACCCGUGCAGUCCUGUUCAUAGUUUGGUUUUGGGUGAAAACCAAAAGGACCAAAAGUCUUCUGGACUGAACAAUGGCAGGUGAAAGAUGUGAGUGGUUUUUAUUGCCAAGGGGCGAAACUGGAAGGACGGGGUGGGGGGGCACUUCCUGUGCCAGUUAUCUGCUGUAGUGACCACACUGGGUCUUUAACUGGCUGCUAUUUAAGUCAAAACUAAAAAUUGAGCACCCCCCUGUCCAGGUCGCACUGCUCCCAUUUCAAGAGCUCAGUAGCCGCCUGUGGCCAGUGGCUACUGUACAGGACAGAUGUACAGAACACUUCCGUUACUGCAGAAAGUUUUUGCACAUGUGGUUAAGGGUCUUGGGGUGAGGAGACGAUCUUGGGUCAUAAAAGGGAAGCAGAAAGAUUUUCGUGCACAAAGGAGACCAUGUGAAGAUGAAGCAGAGACCUGAUGUUGGCCUUGAAACUGGAGUGAUACAGCUUCAAGCUGAGGGAGCCUCUGAGCCAUCAGAAGCUGGAAGGUGUGAGGAAUAUUUUUCUUCCUGACCUCCCAGAGCCUCCUGAGGAGCAUACAUUUUAUUUGAUCCAGGGGAAUUGGUUUCUGACUUCUGGUCUCCACAAUUGUGAGAGAACACACACCUGCUGUUUAAGCCACCAAGUGUUACAGCAGCCUCAGGUGACUAAUGCUGAUGGAAAACUUGAGGUCACAAGUACAGCCUGAGCUGGAACUUGCCACACCACACUGCUUCCUACACUGUUUCACUAGUGCCUGAUGGGUGAGUAGGAGAGGGUAGACCUUAUCUAUUCAUGAGUCAAUUUAAAAAUUUUUCAGAGGUAUGGCAAUAAAGGUUUACAUCAUGAGACAUCAGCAUGUGGCUAAAAUAUGGAGGGAGUAGCAAAGGUUCAUAAAAAAACAGAUUAUCAAAACAUAAGAAUGUAUGGUUUAUUAGGAUGUCAAGUACGUAUAUACUUUAUUACAUAGUACAAAACACCAUCUUAAAUGCAAGUUGUAAAAAUUCAGUAACAGGAACUAAGAAAACAUGAAAAAUUAUUCUAAGUUUUUGCCUUGUAAACCAAGGGAGUGAAUCCACCCUCCAGGCCAGUGAUCAAAUCUGCACCUCUGCAGCAAUGCUAGUUCUCUGAGGUCACUGCCACAAGGCCCUGGAUUAAGUCAUCUAUAGUCUGUAAUGCUGGUUUAUCUGGGCAGCAACAAUAAAGAUAUUGACUGAUUAGAGCAUCUUACUAGAGACUGGUAAGGAAACUGGGGCAGCAAAGAUCCAAGUUCCUAAAUAAACUCUUGUUGACUCAAUAUUCUUAUGAGGAGGAACAUGAUUUAACUAGCUCCUUAACUAAAAUGCUAAUGUUAACACAAAAACAUAUCUGAAAUACUUUUCCUUGCAUUAUUUUCUUUAAACGUUUAAAGUGAAACCAUUUUCAUCUAUUCUGUAUAACAAUACAUAACACUGAUCUCUUAUGAUGCAGCAGGUUAAGGAUCCGGAGUUGUCCUUGUAGUGGCUUGGUUUUGAUCCUGGCCCAGGAACUUCCACCUGCCAUGGCAAUAAGAAAAAAAACAAAGAGUAACAUUGAGCUCUAGCUCCCUGUUGACAGUGUAACUCCCAGCCUGCAGGUAACCUACUUGUUACUCAAAUGAGCUCAGCUUGAAAUAAGAGAAAUGCUCCCAUGUUUAGCUGCUCAUUCGGAGCUAACGAUUUGCUAGGAUCCUCCCAAUAAACUAGCCCUAUGCUCUCUACUUUGUCACACUCGACUCUAAAGGUUUCACUCUGCUUAAAUCAUUGUACCUAUAGAGCUGAUGAAAAAUGAGGAAGCUCAGCUCAUUUUUGUUCCUCCAAGACCAAUGAAAAAAAUUGUAGGACUGCCCUGAAUAUCCACCCAAGUGGUGGUUCCAGUGAAACUCUGUUUUGGUUUGGCCUCUCUCUACAGGAUCAUCAACCACAACAGCUAGGAUUUUUUUCCCUCCGGAGCAAGCUUUCUUUCAGAAUGAGUCUUGACUGUCUAAAUUUAGCUUUUCAGCUAUUUUUUUACAGUUAAAUUGGCUAUCUGAGCAAACCAAAUUCCUGACCCCCUCCACAUUGUCAUAUGUCCUGUGGGUGACUAGAAAGCCACUUCUUGCAUCAUUGUGGGGGUCAGCUCUGCCUUCUUUAAACUUUUUUUUUUUUUGCUUCUUAGGGCCACACUCCAGGCACAUGGAAGUCCCCAGGAUCCCUAGGCUAGAGGUCAAAUCAGAGCUGGAGCUGCAGCUGCCAGCCUAUGCUUCAGCAUCUAGGGAUCUGAGCCCUGUCUUGAGACUUACACACCACAGCUUACAGCAAACGCCGGAUCCUUAACCCACUAAGCGAGGCCAGGGAUUGAACCUGCUUCUUCAUGGAUCCCAGUUGGGUUUGUAACCAGCUGAGCCACAACAGGAACUCCCUUCUUUAAACCUUUUAUUGCCAGCCCCAAACUCUUGCUCUUGAUAUUACUUCUUCACCAUAAACCUUUAACAUUUCAAGUAUCUUGCAGAUUUAUUUAACAUCACACAAGAUUUAGUAUAAACUUUUUACUCUAAAUAACCAUCACUCAUUUUUAUGGUAAAAAAAAAAAUUCUACUUACAAAGUUAGCUGGUGACCUUGAAAGCACUGUUAGGCCAGCUGAAACGUUAUAACAUCCCUGGCAACAAUCACUCCUCUGAUUUCACAAGCCACACAUGAAAACUUAGUCAAAAUUAAAACAGAGGCAUUCCCUUUGUGGCUAAAUGGGCUAAGAUCCUGAUGCUGUCUCUCUUGAGGAUAAGGGUUCAAUCCCUGGCCUCACUCAGUGGGUUUAGGAUCUGGCGUUGCAUGAGCUGUGGUGUAGGGGGCAGACUUGGCUCGGAUCCCGAGGUGCUAUGGCUGUGGUGUAGGCUGGCAGCAGCAGCUCCAAUUCGACCCCUAGCCUGGACACUUUUCAUAUGCUACACGUGCGGCCCUAAAAAGAAAAAUAAAUAAAGUGGAAGAGUGCAAAUAAUAUUUGGAGAAGCUGAUAAAGGUUUUGGCGUCGUAAUAUCUCAGCUCAAAUGCCUUCUAUUUCCCACCUACAAAGGGGGAGGAAAUAAAUAAAUCAGCAUUUUCUCACUUGUCAUAUUAAGAGUAAAAUGAUACUUGAAAUAUGUUAAGUAUAUUAUGUGCAGGGAGCAUUUACCCUGCUCUUCCACCCCGCAAAGAACCUAAGACAUCAUGGAAGCUACCACUUAGUUGUCUAUUUAGAAUGAGCUAGUUUGAAAUAACUUUUCUAUUGAUGGUGAUUGAUAGUGAGGCCAAAUGCAAGACACUAAAAUAAUUUCCAAAUACCUAAUGAGAAUGGAUGCUGUUGUCGCCAGCCUGUAUAAUACAAUGUGUGGUUGGAUAGCGAGGAAUUCUAACCCUCAAGUAUUGUUAUCCAUGUUCAUCCUGCAAAUGCUACUUAGUGCAUUCAGUUUAAAACAAAUGCACAUACACUGAAAAGUAGCAUCUGGUAAGCUUUCAACAUGAGUGUCUUUUCAUUUAGUUCUCAAAGCAUGAAAAGGUUUUUACAAAUGCUAAUUGUCCAAUGUAGAUGCUGGAAUUAAAAUUAAAACGAGGUUUUCCAGUGAUUGGUUGUGAUCUUAGAGCUCUUGUAUCUGUUGAGCUCUUUGCUUUUCGUUUUUAUGGUAGAGAAACAUGCAUUAUAUAAAUCUUUUAGCCAUUAUGAGUGUACAAUUCAGUGGUGUUAAUUACACGCACAAAGUUGUGCAACUAUUAUUUCCAGAAUAUUUCCAUCAUCUCAAACAAAUUCUGUACCUAUUAUAUAGUACCUCCCCAUUCUCUCCUCUCCCUAGCCCCUGGUAAUCCCUAAGAGUCUCUGAAUUUAACUACACUACCUCCUAAGAGUGGAAUCAUGUCGUUGUACCUGGCUUAUUUCACUUACGUUUUCAAGGCUCACCCAUGUUGUAGCAGUCAUUAUUCAUUCCUUUUUAAGGCUGAAUAAUCCAGUGUGUGUGUGUGUGUAUAAAUGCAAUGUUAUGCAUAUAUAUAUAACAUACAUAUACAAAAUGUGGCAUAUAUAUAUAUAUGUCAUCUCUAGAUGGACAUUUGGGUUGUCACCUUUUGGCUGUUGGGAAUAUUGUUGCUAUGAACAUGGGUGUACAAGUAUCUGUUUGAGUCCCUGCUUUCAAUUCUUUUGGGUAUCUAUACCCAAGAAGCAAAAUUGCUGGAUCAUCUGGUAACUCUGUAAUUUUUGGAGGAGCAGUCAGACUGUUCUCCACAGCAACGAUACCAUUUUACAUUCCCACCAGGGAUGCACCAGGUUCCAAUUUCUCCACAUCCCUGCCAACACUUUUUAUUUUCUAACAUCUUUCACAAUGGCCUGUGAUGAUUCAGUCCCCUACAAGGUAUUUUCUUCCCAAAUCCCCUCUGCCUCCCCUCGCCUCCCCUCUCCUCCCCCUCUUCUUGAUGUGCUUUUGCUUCAGUGAAAAUAGACUCAGGCUCAAGACUUUUCCUUUGUAUUAAGUACUUAAGGUAACUUUGUGGUUUGCCAAGUGCAAGAAUUCAGUGCAUACUUACAUGUUCCUUUACUGGAGGAAUCUGCAUUACCUUUUUAGGCGGCGAAUAGGGCUGCUUUCCGCAUUAAGAAACGAACUUCACAAUGUAGAUGUGACCCUGAUCUCAGAGAGACAUCAGUGAACCAAGGCUUGAAGCGAGCUCUUAAGUCUCUGCUCAGGAAUUGAACCUGGGCAGCCUGGGUGAAAACCAGGAAUCUUAGCCACUAGAUCAGCUAGCUAGAGGCUAGAAGCAGAAUUGCCUGGAUUCUUGCCCCCCUGUUGAAAGCAAGAAUGUAAAAGCAGAUACAAAGUUUAUUGUUAGAAACUCAAUACAACACGUGGGAGAGCGCACAGAGAAGUAGUCUAUUUAUCUAAGGCCAAAGUAAAGCAGUCAUACACACUGAAAGGUGUGUGGUGCGGGCAUCCCCCGGAAUAAGGAGCGUGCCAGAGAGGUGAUUUAAAUCACAUAUAUGGGACAGUUCUUCCAAGUCUUUGUUUUUCUUUGGCCAAUUAUCUUGUUUUAUUUUUCACACCUGACAAGACCCAGGGCCCUACCUGAUCUGCGGGUGGAUCUUUUGGCCAAGAUGGGUAUCAGAACAAGGGCUUAUGGGAAGGUUAGCUAGACUUACUAUGGCCUGGUGCUGCACAUCCCCCCCGCCUCCUUCUAACCCAGAGGGGUCUUUCUGCUUAUGUACAGUUUGGGUCUUCCUGAACCCAGAAUGGUAAGUAUGUGUCAUCACCACUGUUUAACAAGUUCACAUAAGAUAAGUGAACUAAUUAUUUGCUUUUUGCUUGUUGCUAUUUCUAUCAUGGAAGUAUAAGUAGGUGGCUGGAUGUAAAUGUUUAUCUGAGAGCUCACCUAUGUCCCGCCUCAGGAAGUAUAAAUAGGAGGCUGGUUGUUAAGGUCUGUCCCAGAGCCCAUCUAUCUCCUGCCUCAAUCCUGCCCUCCCUUAAACUAUCUGUACAUCAGCUUAAUAAGGGCGAGCUCGAAACAGGCUGGGAUAAGAACUCACCAUUUAAGCAAGGCUUGCCCACAAUUUCUAAUUCAAAUGUCCCAAGGUUUCAAACCGUUCAACACAGAUGGAGGAGCGUCAGGGCCUACCAGGUGGCGCUUUACUACCUUGGGUUUCUUCUGCCAAGCGGCAGCAGAGCCACACUCCUGGUGAACCUCCGCUCCACGAGGAGAAAACUGGGAACGCCAGGUAAAGCCCGAAUUCUGUCAGCUGAGACCCCACUGCCCCAGCCGCGCCUCACCUGGGCCUCCGCGUUCAGACAGGCAGCUCCCAGCCUGCGGCGUCAAACGCCCUGGCCACGCUCGCUGCCCCUCAACGAUCCUCCACUCACCGUUCCGCAGGAGAUGGAAACCACAAGCUGCU
Molecule: long non-coding RNA, 8046 nt
Filed under: Sus scrofa (pig)
Lineage: Eukaryota; Metazoa; Chordata; Mammalia; Artiodactyla; Suidae
Description: lncRNA (ENSSSCG00030032216.1)
Source: RNAcentral